This 501-nucleotide ribosomal RNA is filed under the name uncultured bacterium. RNAcentral's name for it is "partial 16S ribosomal RNA". It matches the Rfam family "Bacterial small subunit ribosomal RNA", at positions 29 to 523 of the family's 1533-position model. The record is from RNAcentral.
AUUGAACGCUGGCGGCAUGCCUUACACAUGCAAGUCGAACGGCAGCACGGGUGCUUGCACCUGGUGGCGAGUGGCGAACGGGUGAGUAAUACAUCGGAACGUACCUUAUCGUGGGGGAUAACGCAGCGAAAGCUGUGCUAAUACCGCAUAAGCCCUGAGGGGGAAAGCGGGGGAUCGAAAGACCUCGCGCGAUUAGAGCGGCCGAUGCCUGAUUAGCUUGUUGGUGGGGUAAAAGCCCACCAAGGCGACGAUCAGUAGCUGGUCUGAGAGGACGAUCAGCCACACUGGGACUGAGACACGGCCCAGACUCCUACGGGGGGCAGCAGUGGAGAAUUUUGGACAAUGGGGGCAACCCUGAUCCAGCAAUGCCGCGUGAGUGAAGAAGGCCUUCGGGUUGUAAAGCUCUUUUGUCAGGGAAGAAACACCGGCUCUAACACAGUCCGGGAAUGACGGUACCUGAAGAAUAAGCACCGGCUAACUACGUGCCAGCCGCCGCCGUAA